RNAcentral lists this ribosomal RNA (492 nucleotides) under uncultured bacterium. Its description in RNAcentral is "partial 16S ribosomal RNA". It matches the Rfam family "Bacterial small subunit ribosomal RNA", at positions 29 to 507 of the family's 1533-position model. The record is from RNAcentral.
AGUGAACGCUGGCGGUAGGCCUAACACAUGCAAGUCGAACGGCAGCACAGUAAGAGCUUGCUCUUACGGGUGGCGAGUGGCGGACGGGUGAGGAAUACAUCGGACUCUACUUUUUCGUGGGGGAUAACGUAGGGAAACUUACGAUAAUACCGCAUCCGACCUACGGGUGAAAGCAGUGGAUCUUCGGACCUUGCGCGAUUGAAUGAGCCGCUGUCGGAUUAGCUAGUUGGCGGGGUAAAGACCCACCCAGGCGACGAUACGUAGCUGGUCUGAGAGGAUGAUCAGCCACACUGGAACUGAGACACGGUCCAGACUCCUACGGGAGGCAGCAGUGGGGAAUAUGGGACAAUGGGCGCAAGCCUUAUCCAGCCAUACCGCGUGGGUGAAGAAGGCCUUCGGGUUGUAAAGCCCUUUUGUUGGGAAAGAAAAGCAGCAGGUUAAUACCCCGCUGUUCCGACGGUACCCAAAGAAGAAGCACCGGCUAACUUCGUG